GCCUUCGACGUGGCGUUUCUUCGGUUUCACUUCCGGUGUGAAGGAUAUGUGCAAGAUAAAGCAGCCAGGGAUUUAAGUCUGGCAACAGUUGGACUGCUGGAUUUUCAGAGAAGCGUUCCCCAAAGCAAAUUAUGGUGCUAAUUUCCAAUGUUCCAUAAGCAUGGCAAGAAAAAUGGGAAGUUCUCGGUAAGGUAUAUAGUAUUAUUUCUAGAAAUAAAUAUGAACCAAUCCAAGAUUGAUUUUUUGUUUGUUUAAUCCUGGCAGUAUUCUGAACUAAAUCGUAUUCAUUCUUCCCUUUACUUUCCAGACUUUUUUAUUUUAUUUAUUUAUUUAUUUUUUGAGACAGAGUCUCGCCCAGGCUGGAAUGCAGUGCCACAAUCUUGGUUCACUGCAACCUCUGCCUCCCUGGUUCAAGCGAUUCUCCUGCCUCAGCCUCCCGAGUAGCUGGGACUACAGGCAUGCGCCACCACGCCAGGCUAAUUUUUGCAUUUUUAGUAGAGAUGGGGUUUUACAUAUUGAUCAG
RNAcentral lists this small RNA (523 nucleotides) under Pongo abelii (Sumatran orangutan). RNAcentral describes it as "retained intron". Lineage: Eukaryota; Metazoa; Chordata; Mammalia; Primates; Hominidae. The record is from RNAcentral.